CACCAGACUCCUACGGGAGGCAGCAGUGGGGGAUAUUGCACAAUGGGCGCAAGCCUGAUGCAGCGACGCCGGGUGAGCGAAGAAGUAUUUCGGUAUGUAAAGCUCUAUCAGCAGGGAAGAAAAUGACGGUACCUGACUAAGAAGCUCCGGCUAAAUGCGUGCCAGCAGCCGCGGUAAUACGUAUGGAGCAAGCGUUAUCCGGAAUUACUGGGUGUAAAGGGAGCGUAGGCGGGGGAACAAGUUGAAUGUUUAAGAUAUGGGCUCAACUCAUAUAAGCGUUCAAAACUGUUUUUCUUGAGUGAAGUAGAGGUAAGCGGAAUUCCUAGUGUAGCGGUGGAAUGCGUAAAUAUUAGGAGGAACACCAGUGGCGAAGGCGGCUUACUGGGCUUUAACUGACGCUGAGGCUCGAAAGCGUGGGUAGCAAACAGGAUUAGAUACCCGCGUAG
This 446-nucleotide ribosomal RNA is filed under the name uncultured bacterium. RNAcentral's name for it is "partial 16S ribosomal RNA". It matches the Rfam family "Bacterial small subunit ribosomal RNA", at positions 329 to 793 of the family's 1533-position model. The record is from RNAcentral.